Molecule: ribosomal RNA, 571 nt
Filed under: Rhodotorula sphaerocarpa
Lineage: Eukaryota; Fungi; Basidiomycota; Microbotryomycetes; Sporidiobolales; Sporidiobolaceae
Description: eukaryotic LSU rRNA
Rfam family: Eukaryotic large subunit ribosomal RNA
Source: RNAcentral
AAACUAACAAGGAUUCCCCUAGUAGCGGCGAGCGAAGCGGGAAGAGCUCAAAUUUAUAAUCUGGCACCUUCGGUGUCCGAGUUGUAAUCUCUAGAAGUGUUUUCCGCGUUGGACCGCGCAUAAGUCUGUUGGAAUACAGCGGCACAGUGGUGAGACCCCCGUAUGUGGUGCGGACGCCCAGCGCUUUGUGAUACACUUUCGAAGAGUCGAGUUGUUUGGGAAUGCAGCUCAAAUUGGGUGGUAAAUUCCAUCUAAAGCUAAAUAUUGGCGAGAGACCGAUAGCGAACAAGUACCGUGAGGGAAAGAUGAAAAGCACUUUGGAAAGAGAGUUAACAGUACGUGAAAUUGUUGGAAGGGAAACGCUUGAAGUCAGACUUGCUUGCCGGGCAACCGGUUUGCAGGCCAGCAUCAGUUUUCCGGGGUGGAUAAUGGUAGAGAGAAGGUAGCAGUUUCGGCUGUGUUAUAGCUCUCUACUGGAUACACCUUGGGGGACUGAGGAACGCAGUGUGCCUUACGGCGGAGGUUUCGACCUCUUCACACUUAGGAUGCUGGUGGAAUGGCUUUAAACGAC